UUCUGCAUUUCCGAGAAAAUC
This 21-nucleotide non-coding RNA is filed under the name Caenorhabditis elegans. The record is from RNAcentral. Lineage: Eukaryota; Metazoa; Nematoda; Chromadorea; Rhabditida; Rhabditidae.